This 280-nucleotide ribosomal RNA is filed under the name uncultured bacterium. Its description in RNAcentral is "partial 16S ribosomal RNA". It matches the Rfam family "Bacterial small subunit ribosomal RNA", at positions 506 to 785 of the family's 1533-position model. The record is from RNAcentral.
UGCCAGCCGCCGCGGUAAUACGGAGGGUGCAAGCGUUAUCCGGAAUCACUGGGUUUAAAGGGUACGUAGGCGGGCUAAUAAGUCAGAAGUGAAAUCUCGCAGCUUAACUGCGAAACUGCUUUUGAAACUGUUAGUCUUGAAUUCGGUUGAGGUGCACGGAAUGCGUCAUGUAGCGGUGAAAUGCUUAGAUAUGACGUAGAACACCAAUUGCGAAGGCAGUGCACUGGACCGCGAUUGACGCUGAGGUACGAAAGCGUGGGUAGCGAACAGGAUUAGAUAC